Molecule: long non-coding RNA, 2462 nt
Organism: Saimiri boliviensis boliviensis (Bolivian squirrel monkey)
Lineage: Eukaryota; Metazoa; Chordata; Mammalia; Primates; Cebidae
Source: RefSeq, a predicted model, not a curated record
UCAUAUUUACUCUUCUCUGCUGCUAAGCUAGAAAAGUUGGAAAAGCCCUGAUUAUGGACUGUUGACUGCUAAAGGAAAAAUACGGAUGAAAUAGGACGACCUCAGGGUUUCAGAGAUUGGAAAAGUUCUAAAUAUCAUUUCUGGACUUGGCUCAAAACUCCAGCUGAAUUUCGAGUUCUGAAACUGAAAAACAAAUCCUAGAAAAACUUGAAUUUUUACAAAUUUAUUUCAGAGAUCUCCCUAGCCUUUGCAAAAGUCCUAUUUUCUGAUUUACCUGAUGGCCCUGAUUCGGCUACAGAUUAUUACAAGAAAGCCUUUCCUUUUUGUUCAAGACCCAAAGGAUAAUGGAUACUUUUUUCCCCUAACAAUUUAUUUUACAGGCUUAUCCUGAUUCAGUGAGAGAAGAAUACUCACACUUGAUAAGUACUUUGGACUUGAUGAUAAAUGCUAUGGUUAGGUAUUUUUUCCAUUGAAGUGUGCAAAACCCCAGAGAAUUGAUUGAUAGCUGUGGGACUGCAUUAUGUGAAGGAAGCUCCUCAUACCACGUCAGGGGUUUGCCUGAUGAAAUGGCUUGAUCAAACUGUUCAUGAGAUACCUGCAAUUCCAGUACCAAAGACCAUUUGGCCAAGGAGCGAUUCUUAACCUUUGUUAUAACUUUUGGAUGAAUAAUCUAAAGCCAGAGAGAUCAAGGGUACCGAAAUGAUAUCCUGUCCUCUACUCCUUCUCACCUCUCAAGGCAGGUUGCCACCAAUAUUCUGGAGAAAGAAAGAGAAAGAGAAUACAUUGAGGAAGGGGAAACUUCGGAAGCAUGUUUUUAAAGAAUGUCUUUUGGAUUGUUAAGAGUAUAAGAAAUAAAAAGAGGAGCCAGAGCCUCCAGGAAACGCCCUUGAGUAACUUGCGCACGUGGGACCUGUUCCCACCUAGGACCACAGGCUCAAAAGGGGGCCGGGUAGAUCUGACGGGAACCGAAGGAGCCAGUAGAUUUUCACGCUUGCAACAGACGGGCUAAGAGAACGCCGGGAUUCUGCCGAUAAGUCACGGAGUCAGAGCAGCCCAGCAGAGGCAGACGGACAACCUAUGCGGAGAAAUUGGAUGGACGGCUGGGACCACCUGCAGCUCCCGGGGGCGGGGGACGGAAUCCCCACCUACAGAGCAAUUUCACAAACCUGGAAGAAGGGAUUUACAUGUGCAGAUCUCAACAGAAGGACACAGGAAACAUGAAAAAGCAGGGAAAUGUGACACCUCCAAAGGAACCCAGUAAUUCUCCAGCAACCAAUCCCAAUCCAAAAGAAACCGAAGAUAUUUUGGAUAGAGAAUUGAACAUAGUGAUUACACAGCCAAUGGGCAGCAUGCAAGAGUUAUUUGGAAAAGAACAAAGGAAAAGAUGGAAUCAAUUAAAGGUCUGCAGGAACAAAUUACCCACCGCAAAAAUAUUUUUAAAAGGAACCUUCUGAAACUGAAGAAAUCACUGGAUGAAAUACCAAGUAAACUCAAGGCUUCAAUGACAGAAUAAAACUAGAAGAAAAAAUCUCCAAACUUCAAAUCUGAAGCAUAUUUCUUAAAGGUUUAAAGGGUUGUAUUGUGACCAUUAAUGUGAAUGAAACCUGCUGGGUUAAUUGUUACACUGAGGUCUUGGAUACUCAUUAAAGUGAAAUGAGAAUUAAAAAAUAUAUAUAAAGAAUAUACUAAACCCAAAAAUCACUCAAGCAUAUUUCAGUGUAUCACUGAAUUCAGACUAUGUCAGUGAACAAAUCUGAGAGCAUUUCAAUGAGUGAUUAUGUUAAAGAAUUACGCUCACAUUCUUGAAGACUCAUGAAUCUGGUAAGACUUCCAUCAGUCACCUUACAGUUAAGUUAGCAUGUGUUGUCGGUAGAUAUGAGAUCUGUGUAUACUCUUCCCCAAAGAUAAAUUCACAAAUUGCUGCCAGUAGAACUGCAAUGUUUGGAAUGCUUCUGUGAGGAGAUUCUGUCUAAAAAGACCUACCAUCUGAUGUUGCUACUGAAAAACAGAGACAAACCCAUCAAUGAAAGCCACCUCAAAUGCGGUGGAGGAUUUGUGACAGACUGUCAAUGCUGCCAAUCAUGUCUGUUCCAAAAUGACUUUUUUAAAAAGCACCAAGACAAUUUCCCCAUUGUAAAUACACACUAGUGGUGAGCAAAAAAGAUGGUGGUGAUAGAAAGGCAAGCUUUACCAGGAUAUUUAGAUAGAAGGAAAAAAAGAAAAAAGAAAAACAAAGAAAAGAGAAAUAUUACAUAUAAGCAGAGGGCUAAAUCCAGUGUAGCCCAUGUAAUUAAUUGUUGCUUGGGGUAGAAAAUAAAGGGACAGUAGAAACACCAAUGGAACAGGUCCCUAUAUCUCUUGUAUCUUCAAUUUGUUCCUAUCUUCAUAUUUAAAAGCCACAAUUUGGGCACGGUGACUGAUGCCUGUAGUUCCAGCUACCUGAAAGCCCAGGGCAGGACCAU